GAAGUUGGCGCCCAACUACCGUACCGGAGUGACUGCUGGUCCUAUAAAACCCCGGCGCCGCUCGCUGCAUGCUGUCAUGCUCCCGCGCCCACAGAGAGCCUGCCGUCUCCUUACAAUUCUGAUCGCCCCCGCCAUACGCGCGCGACGACAAGACCACCACAGAGCCAUGGGCAUCUUCACGGUGACCAAGCUAUCCGAGGGCCCCGUGCGGCCGUCCGCCGACACGCCGUCGGAGACGCUGCCCCUGGCCUGGGUCGACCGGUACCCGACGCACCGCGGCCUCGUCGAGUCCACGCACAUCUACUGCUGCGACGACGUCGCGAAGACGCUGCUGCUGCCUGCUGCGCCGGCCGAGGGCGACGCCGACGCACUGGCGCCGACGAAGAAGGAGGUGAUCACCAAGAAGUCCCCGGCCGCGGUGGUGCGCGCCGCGCUGGCGGACGCGCUGGUGCACUACUACCCGUUCGCGGGCCGGAUCGUGGAGGACGUGCCGGGGCGCCCCGCCGUGCUGUGCUCUGCCGAGGGCGUCUACUUCGUGGAGGCCGUGGCCAACUGCACCCUCGCCGACGUCAACUUCCUGGAGCGGCCGCUGCUCCUCGCCAAGGAGCAGCUCGUGCCGUGCCCCACGCCGGAGCUCUGGCCCGUCUUGCCGCACAACAGCCUUGCCAUGAUACAGGUCACGGCCUUCACCUGCGGCGGCUUCGUGGUGGGCCUGCGCACCAACCACGCGGUGGCGGACGGCACGGGCGCGGCGCAGUUCCUGAGCGCCGUGGGCGACCUCGCCCGCGGGCUGCCGGAGCCCCGCGUGAGGCCCGUCUGGGGCCGGGACCGCUUCCCCGACCCGGACAUCAAGCCCGGCCCGCUCCCGGAGCUGCCGGCGCUGGCGCUGGAGUACAUAGCGUUCGACUUCCCCACCGCGUACCUCGACGAGCUCAAGUCGCAGUACGCGGCGUCCACGGGCGGCAAGUUCUGCUCGGGCUUCGACAUCGUCAUCGCCAAGCUCUGGCAGUGCCGGACGCGCGCCAUCGCCGCCGCCCUCGGCCCCGACGACGUCAGGCUCUGCUUCUUCGCCAGCGUCCGGCACGUGCUGAAGCUGGAGCCGGGCUACUACGGCAACGCCAUCUUCCCCGUGAAGGUGUGCGCGCCGGCGGAGAAGGUGGCCGGCUCGUCGGUGGUCGAGCUCGUCGGCAUGGUCCGGGACGCGAAGCGCCGGAUGGCCGAGGAGUGCCUGCGCUGGGCCGAGGGCCGCACCGGCGGCGUCGACCCGUUCCAGAUGACCUUCAACUACGAGUCCGUGUACGUGUCGGACUGGAGCAAGCUCGGGUUCGCCGACGUGGACUACGGGUACGGCACGCCCAUGUCCGCCGGCCCGCUGGUGAACUGCGACCUCAUCGCGUCGGUCAUCGUCAUGAGGGCGCCCGCGCCGCUCGCCGGCACGCGGCUUCUGGCCAGCUGCGUCACCAAGGAGCACGCCGACGACUUCGCCUGCAGGAUGCGGGAGGACCUAGUCUGAUAUAUAGGUGAGUAUGGAGAUGAUGGAACCCUGCCGCUGUACCUGUACCUACGUGUGAGUGUGGCCAGAGUCAGAGCUAUACGUUGUGGACGUUAAGGUAUUGUAUCGCAACUAGUAGAUGCACUACGUACGUGUGUGUAUACAAACAAAAUUCGCAUGGAGUUGUUGAGUAACUUACUGACGAUGCAGCCAGCGUCAGGGAGCAGCGUUGACUAAAAAGACACAGCGAGCCACGAAUAUACGACUCAUUUUUCAAUGGGAACAUAUCUGAAAAAAAUCAUACAUAUCCUUUUCAUUUUACUUAAACUAUAUACACAAUGUCAAG
RNAcentral lists this unclassified non-coding RNA (1838 nucleotides) under Zea mays. RNAcentral describes it as "misc RNA Zm00001eb277010". The record is from RNAcentral. Lineage: Eukaryota; Viridiplantae; Streptophyta; Magnoliopsida; Poales; Poaceae.